GACGAACGCUGGCGGCGUGCCUAAUACAUGCAAGUUGAGCGCUGAAGGUUGGUACUUGUUCCAACUGGAUGAGCAGCGAACGGGUGAGUAACGCGUGGGGAAUCUGCCUUUGAGCGGGGGACAACAUUUGGAAACGAAUGCUAAUACCGCAUAAAAACUUUAAACACACGUUUUAAGUUUGAAAGAUGCAAUUGCAUCACUCAAAGAUGAUCCCGCGUUGUAUUAGCUAGUUGGCGAGGUAAAGGCUCACCAAGGCGAUGAUACAUAGCCGACCUGAGAGGGUGAUCGGCCACAUUGGGACUGAGACACGGCCCAAACUCCUACGGGAGGCAGCAGUAGGGAAUCUUCGGCAAUGGACGAAAGUCUGACCGAGCAACGCCGCGUGAGUGAAGAAGGUUUUCGGAUCGUAAAACUCUGUAGGUAGAGAAGAACGUUGGUGAGAGUGGAAAGCUCAUCAAGUGACGGUAACUACCCAGAAAGGGACGGCUAACUACGUG
This 497-nucleotide ribosomal RNA is filed under the name uncultured bacterium. RNAcentral's name for it is "partial 16S ribosomal RNA". It matches the Rfam family "Bacterial small subunit ribosomal RNA", at positions 28 to 507 of the family's 1533-position model. The record is from RNAcentral.